AGGAAGGGAGGGGGAGCAGCGCGGUGCAUGCCGGGAAAUCGCUCCCCUCGGCUUCCUCCUCCCGCACGGGCAAGGCGGCGGAGUACGCAUGCGCAGGAGGGGAGAGACCAACUUGCACUAGUUCAGAAGCUCGGGGUGCAGGGGACGAGCCGCGUGCGCCGCUGCAGCAGCACUGGCCAGUGUCCAUGACUCUUCGGUCAGAGCGAAUCAACAAAAGCACGCUCCUGUUCUGGAGGUGAAGAGACUUCACCGUGCCUGGCAGAGAAAUACUCUUCUUGAUUCCUGUGCCCCAUAGUCAAAUCAAUCACUGAGAUCAACAAAAAAGAAAUGAUAAAAUUUUUUCUUAUGGUAAACAAACAAGGUCAAACAAGGCUCUCUAGGUAUUACGAGCAUGUAGAAAUUAAUAAAAGGACAAUGCUGGAAGCUGAAAUAAUUAAAAACUGUCUCUCCCGUUCAAAGGAUCAGUGCUCUUUCAUUGAGUAUAAGGACUUUAAGCUGGUAUACCGACAGUAUGCAGCGCUUUUUGUAGUCGUUGGCAUCAACGAGACAGAGAAUGAGAUGGCAGUAUAUGAACUAAUUCAUAAUUUUGUGGAAGUUUUGGACAAAUACUUCAGUAGAGUGAGUGAAUUAGAUGUAUCCUUUUCAGUAUCAGAAAUCCAUUUGUCUAUCUCUUUUUGGUGUACAUUCCAGUUCAUGCUGUCUUCAUGGCACUGACUGUCAAACAGUGAAGACCAUGCAGAGGUUUCACAAAUUUUGCACUUACAAUCCUCUCGCCCUGUGUAGAGCAGUGCCAGAGGUGAACUAAGCAGCAGAAGAGCUGUCUUCCUAAAAAUUCUCGCAUUACUGGACUAAAGAAAUCCUAACUUCUCAGAUUAAAAUACUUGUGUAAAGACUGAUUUACUUGGAAAGUAUACCACAGGGAGAAAUUUGUCUCAUGUCUUUAACCUGCCAAGGAAAGUAAAACAACUACCUUUGUCUCUGGAACCACAGAAAUGGAGACAGCUGAAGUUUUAAGGACAGUAGUGCUCCUCAGGAUUGAGAGGCAUGAGUCUGAUUUUUAGAAGCAAUUCAGGCCUACGCUCAGACUUAGGAAGAAGUCUGGUAUUUAAAAUACAACUUAGAUUUAAAUUAGGUGGUUAAGUUUAGGCCAGCAAAUUAGAAGCUAUGUGAUGAACCAUGGACAUACUCGAGAUCCUGUUGACAGCUAUAGUUUCUCUUCCUCACAUAACAGUAACGAGUAGUAAAGUUAUUUGGGGGCCUGAAUUCUGCUACUACACAUACCUAGACAUGCUUUGCUCUUGGCCAAGCAGAAUGCAUUUGUUGGAGCAGCAAUGCAAUUGUUUACCCUUCUGCACAAAUACACGGUAGCACCGCGUUCAGCCCAGAGCACUUACGGCAAUUUGAAAUGGCAGGGGAAGGUGACAGCCUGCUAGCUGUAAUCUCAUCAACUUGACCAUACAGGUUCAUCCUACAGUUCAGCCUGAACAAGUUCAAGCUUCUACUUUUCAUCUCUUAGAAAGGUGGUCACACACAAGGCUGACGUGAGACGCUCCGUGCCCCUCUUCUUGCUUUAACGUAUGCAGCAGAGGCAAUCACCAAGACAGGGACAAAAACUUAAGCUUCUGUCAUCACUGGGCUAGACUGUUGUACUCAAGAACUUCUGCAGACAGCAGAACUUGAAGUAGAAGGCAGCAGGUGCAGCUGCUACUAACUCAGCUAAGCUUGCCCAUGGAAAAAGGUGGGUUUGGAAUUCCCCAGGCUGAGGACAGGCUCAGCUUCCAUCCUCUACAGUUUUCAGGCAGGCAGCAUCUCUACUGUGACAUUUUAGAAAAGACUGAGCCAGUCAUCAUUACCUGAAGUAAUGACUUGGGCUUCUGACUCUGAGAGAAAGGAUCACAGAAAAAUUCCUCUCUGCAUUCCCAAGUACUGGCUUCAGCCCUGGUUCUCUAGAACCUGUGAAUUGUUUGAUGGGUCUGGCUUUUACCACUCACUGCAGGGGAAAUAAGGCACCUAACUCAGAUUAAGGAAUUCAUUUCUCAAAGCCAGGUGCUAAAAAACUAGGCAUGGAGAUGUUCAAUGUUACUUAAAUCUGUUUCUUGAAUUCAGACUUAAGACUGUUCACUUCCAUGAGCUCGCAUUGUUGCAGCUCUGGUGGUUUAAGGUGUUGUCUCCCCACCACUCGCAUUUACCACCUAGGAGGAACAAAUAUUUACAAAUAUAUGUGGCUCCUCAGCUGUUGUCAUAUACAUAAACAGUUAGUACUCCCACUGUUCCUGCUCUUUGGCAGAGCAGUAGGGCAGACUGCUGUAGUUAGAUCCACUAGAACCCGUGGGACAGAACAGUCAUGUUCAGAAAAUGAGACUUUAGUUUUAUCAUGCCGAGCAGAGGAACACGUUGAUGCAUUCAAAAACCUGGCUCUCGCAACUCCACUGAUUAGCAUGGAAGUCCACUAACAUAAAUACAAGGACAGGAGCAAACCCACGUUGUCUUGCUGAGCUCAAACCAUAGAAUCAUAGAAUGGUUUGGGUUGGAAGGGACCUUCAAGAUCAUCUAGUUCCAACCCCCCUGCCAUAGCAUCAAAACCAGCAUAAUGGGCAGAGAAGGCACUCGAGAGUCUCAUAUCUAAGUUGAAAAAAAGUAUUGAAAGAUGUAUUUAGAAGUUACUGUAAAGUAUCUUACUAGCUCAACUGCAGGAGUCCUCAAUACACAGGCAAGAGCUGGCAAGAGCUAACAGGAGCAAAAUUAAGGCAAAGCCGAUCCGUUGAGGACAGCAAAGAACACAUUUAAAGAGCAGCAACAGGUGGAGGAGAGCAAGGCAGAUGAAGGGUUAUUCACGCCUCUGUAUGUCAGUGAAGCAUAACAGAUGUACCCAGCAGGCUUUUUUGCUAUGCCUGUUUCCAUUUCAGGUUCUAGUGAUAAAUGGCAACAUAAGAGUCUUUUUUCACUAAGUAACCGUUGGCAGUUGUUCAGUGGAUGCACAAAACACUAAGGUAUGCAGAAGAAUGCCUGCUGCUUAACACUAGAGUAAGGCCUGUCAUUUUUUUUUUUUUUUUUUUGAGACAGAUGCUGUUAGAUAAGGAA
Harpia harpyja (harpy eagle) is the source of this 3081-nucleotide RNA transcript. It is a transcript of the gene named adaptor related protein complex 4 subunit sigma 1, with no coding region annotated. The record is from RefSeq and is a predicted model, not a curated record. NCBI's taxonomy places the organism in Eukaryota, Metazoa, Chordata, Aves, Accipitriformes, Accipitridae. The transcript has 7 exons.